AGGGAGGAGCUUCUUGCUGCCCACACAUUUUGGCUAGCCUUUAUUUGCUGGCAGAAAGGGUACAGAGCUUGGUGUGGCCUUGAUUUCCUUGCAGUGAGUCCUGGCUCACAGAGCAGAAUCAUAUGCAUGGCACCAAGAGUGUCUGAAAAAAAUGUGCGCCAGGAUAUGGGGUGCCCUUCUCCCACUUUGCCCAGCUCAAGGGCACAGGGUACCCAGGACUCCAGAAGAACGCUCAAACAAAGAAACAAAAAGUCCCAGACUUACUUACAAAAGUAAGUAAGAUUGGUGGAAAAGAUAAACAUCUAAGACCUUUCUGGCUCGCUCCUCGUCUGUGUGGGUGGCUUCAGCUGGGGCACACUGGGGACAAGAGGCAGUGCUGUUCGUAGUAGUCAGCGAGACCGGCAUAACCUGGGACACAUGAUUGUUCUUGUUCCUGUGGCCUCUGGCUAUACUAGAAGGUGACGUUAUUUUAAGGAACAGGUCAAAGGAAAUCAUCUUGUAUAAAGGGAUUGAAAGCCACGGAUGCUGACCUGGGAAGACAGCUCAGUUGCUAAGACCCUUGCCUCACAAGUAUUAGGACCUGAGUUCAGCCCCUAGCACCGAGGAGGUAAAGAGCUGGGCACAGGGGCAUGCACUUGCGAUCUCAAGCUGAAGAGGCUGAGGCAGGCAAACUCUUGGAGAUCACUGGCCAGCCAGGUUAUGCGAACUGAUGAGAUCCAGUCCUAGACAGAAAUCCUGUCUCAAAACCAACCAAUCAACCAACCAACAGACAACUAACUAAUGAGGUGAAUGGGUCCUCAGGUUGGGCGCUGAAGGCUGAUCUCUGACCUCCACACUUACAUGUGCACCUCCCACACGUAUGAACAUGCACACCAACUCCAAAACACAAGUACAACUCUAAAGAGACGGCUGGGGUAAAUUGUUUAAUAAAAUGGCCGUUGGG
Molecule: long non-coding RNA, 943 nt
Filed under: Rattus norvegicus (Norway rat)
Lineage: Eukaryota; Metazoa; Chordata; Mammalia; Rodentia; Muridae
Description: long non-coding RNA NONRATT006666
Source: RNAcentral